GGGCGGAUAGCUCAGCUGGGAGAGCGCCGGCCUUACAAGCCGGAAGUCGUAGGUUCGAUCCCUGCUCCGCCUA
This 73-nucleotide transfer RNA is filed under the name Deltaproteobacteria bacterium. Its description in RNAcentral is "tRNA-Val". It matches the Rfam family "tRNA". From Rfam's summary of the family: Transfer RNA (tRNA) molecules are approximately 80 nucleotides in length. Their secondary structure includes four short double-helical elements and three loops (D, anti-codon, and T loops). The record is from RNAcentral. Lineage: Bacteria; Pseudomonadati; Myxococcota; Myxococcia. RNAcentral also lists the same sequence under 1 other name.